RNAcentral lists this transfer RNA (68 nucleotides) under Lunella granulata. RNAcentral's name for it is "tRNA-Phe". The record is from RNAcentral. Lineage: Eukaryota; Metazoa; Mollusca; Gastropoda; Trochida; Turbinidae.
AUUUUGGUAGCUCACAUCUCUAGAGCAUAGCAUUGAAGCUGCUAAGGUGGGCCUAAGCCCCUGAAAUA